Molecule: ribosomal RNA, 305 nt
Filed under: uncultured bacterium
Lineage: Bacteria
Description: bacterial SSU rRNA
Rfam family: Bacterial small subunit ribosomal RNA
Source: RNAcentral
CCUACGGGAGGCAGCAGUGGGGAAUAUUGCACAAUGGGGGAAACCCUGAUGCAGCAACGCCGCGUGAGUGAAGAAGUAUUUCGGUAUGUAAAGCUCUAUCAGCAGGGAAGAAGAAAGACGGUACCUGACUAAGAAGCCCCGGCUAACUACGUGCCAGCAGCCGCGGUAAUACGUAGGGGGCAAGCGUUAUCCGGAUUUACUGGGUGUAAAGGGAGCGUAGACGGCUGUGCAAGUCUGAAGUGAAAGCCCGGGGCUCAACCCCGGCGAGCCGUUGAAACUGGCUGUCUUGAGAUGUCGAGAGGUAU